This is a long non-coding RNA of Helianthus annuus (common sunflower), 2627 nucleotides long. RefSeq lists it as uncharacterized. The record is from RefSeq and is a predicted model, not a curated record. The transcript has 18 exons. NCBI's taxonomy places the organism in Eukaryota, Viridiplantae, Streptophyta, Magnoliopsida, Asterales, Asteraceae.
AAAACAACAAACCGACCAAAAUCCACUAGUACACAAGUCAACUGUUGGUGCGAUGGAUUUUUUUUUAUGGUGCGGCUCAAGUAUACCACCGCAUCAUCAUAUCUUCAUUUAGAAAUCAACCAUCAAAUAACAAAGGAUCCAGCACCAUUUAAGAAAGAAUCGCACCUUUUAACAAUAUAAUAAAAUAAUCUACUAAUAUAUUUUUCAGCAUUUCUAUCUCUCCCCCAAAAUUGAGCUUCUCCCCCCCAAAAUUUUCAACCAAAAUACAUCGAUCUCUUCCUUACCGCCACUUUUACUCUGUUCUUCAUUACUCAAUACACAUCUUUCUCCUCUCCCCAAGAACCCUAACCAACCGACAGAAACCUCUACCCCAAUCGAAAACCCUAAUUACUAACCGGCGGCUACAAACCCUAAUCGGAGUGUAAGAGGAGGAUGUUGUUCUACCUUUUCAGUUGAGCUUGAACCGCCGGUCCACCUCCUCGGCGCCGCCGCACCACCAGGUAUCGGGCUCUAGAGUUACUUCAGUCGCCAAUAUAUGGCUCUGCAGUUGAUUUAUGGGCAAUGGGCGCCAUCAUGGCUGAACUAUUUACUCUCCGUCCCCUUUUCCCAGGUUCAAGGUUUCUGGUAUUAAGAGCAUGGAUGCUUUUUUUCAAAGUUUUGAGAUACCCGGAAAUGGAUGAGUUCUUCCCAAAGCUUAUGUCUGAAAAAAUUUCAAGCGACUGCAACUAAAGUAUCAGUUCAUAUGAUACUGAGGUUUGAUGGGAUGCGUUCAUGGCUUCUUACUUAUAAGAGGCUUGAUGAUGGUAUAGCAAUUACGGAUGGUUGGAAAAGAGUAGUCGAUGACCUUGGUUUUAAACUUGGUUGUUUAUUGGUGUUUACACCGUUUGAGUCUUAUGUUGAUUUCAUGUUAACUGCGUUUAAUGUUGACUUUCGUGUUGUCUGUCAAUCUUGAAAGGGACUUUCUAAUUUAUGUCUUAUGGAUCUUGCUGGUGAUAAAGAAAGCUCUUUCGGAUUGAUACGUCAUGUUAGUGUCAUCAUGUAGCUGUGUGGAUGGCUCCUCAAUUGUGUUGUUAUGCUCUCGGUGUUCUUGAUAAAGAGACGUAGAGGUUGAAGACCAUUAAGAUUGAGGCCAAUACGUUGUGGCUUCUCUGUUUGGUUGCUUUUAGUUAUUGCCUCGGUUAGAGCUGCCUUGCUGAGUUAACUUGGUUGUUUAAUGGUGUGUUUUUCAUGGACCAUAUUUGCACUAAGCGCAGCUGCAAGCUUUCGUGUACUACUGUCACUGUUGUCCCAUUCUUCGAUUUGUUGCUGCUCAUCUGUUGAGGUGCAACAGUACAAACAUGAAAGGGAGUGUGAUUAAGUUAUUUGGAAACUGCAGGAAGAUAAAGUUGCCAGCCUUGAGGACCUGAUGGAUGGUGUGUUGUCAGCAGUUGACUUUGUAAAUGAAGAAUUGAGAUCUUUAGGGCAAGAUAAAGUAGCCACCCUUGAGGACCUGAUAGAUGUUAAAGUAUGUAUAUAAAGUUCAUGGUUACAAGGCAUAUAAUUCUACUCUUAGAAGGGAAUAGAGUUAAGGAAGCAAGCCUUGAUGACAACCAAGGUACGAGUGUAUGUUCUUGGGUCAAGCUGACCAAAAGUUGCUAAACUCAACCGGGACAUGUAUAGUACGGAUCGACUCUUCGGGUAUCUAUUUGCCUACAAGUUUUUUUCGAGUUCUAUCUGAGUGCGGCUCUAUGUUUUCAAAUUUUAGACGCGAGCAUAGUACAAGUCCCCUUCAUUUUUCUCAAGAAGCUAAAGUUGAUGAAAAACAUGGCUACAAGCUCCCUUAUAACAGUUGUCUCAUGGGGAUUGGUGUCAUAAGGAGACUUUAAAAGCCAAGGGAAGUCAUCUUUUUAAAAAUACACAUCCUUAGUGAUGUUUUAUUUGUUUAUCUUCCAUGGAAAUUAUGUUUCAUGGAAAUCCAACAUGUCUGUAUAUCUUCCAUGGAAAUCCAACAUGUCUGUAUAUUUGUUGAAACCUAUCAGAGGACCAAUAGUUUAAUGUUUGUUGUUAUAAUUUUCAGUCAACCUUCAUUGAUGAACUGCCGAAGUAGAGAGACUGCAUUUCGUCUUGGGGUUUACCAAGCAUAAUGUCAGGGGCAUUCAAAUUAACCUAGCAAUAUCAGCUACAUUCAGUGUAGAAAAUGUGCACACAAAUGGGGUAAAUGUAUAAUGUUUAUGCCAAGAAAGCGCGAUAUCGAUCGGUUGGCAUAACGCGAUAUAUGUCAAGACCAGCGGUAGAAAAUGCUAUUGGGCUUUAGAGACGGUCGUUUCAAUGUUUUAGUAGCCACUGAUAUUUCUACUCACGGACUUGAUGUUCCUAAUGUUGAUAUGGCUAGGCUGGAAAGAAAGGAAGACCAUUUUAAUUCAUUCGUCUUAGCAAUCGUCUGAGGUGAAGGGAUCCAAGCACAAAGUAGGAUGCAAAUUUUUGAAGGUACAAUAGAUGAUGAUAUUUGAUGAUGAUAUUGAUGCAUGCUCACAUAGGAUUGGACGAGGCCUUAGUGACAUUAAAAGAUGCAAGACUAGUUAAUUUUUGUUAUGUUUCUUUAUUGUUAAGACAUUGUAAUACAUUCAAUUCAAUAAAACGAAAUUUGU